UCCAUCGCACGAUAAGCAAUGCAAACAGCGACACGUUAUCCGUGUAACACGCGUGUCUAGGUCUAUGUACGCAACCUCACCCUCCUCUUGCUCUUUCCGUGCUUUAUUCGUCCUCUUUUCUCCCUCGUUGCACACCCGGGAAAAGGGAAAAGUGCUUCGACGAUACCACGCCGGGGCGAGCGAGAAGUGUCAUUCCGGCAUUCAGUCGGCAAAGAGCACGCUGAGAAGUGGCGGAUACGCGCGCGCAAGAAACAAAGAAAAAGGGCGAAGCGCACUCUUGGCCUGCCUAGCGUCCUCGUUGAGCGUAGUUGUUAAGGAUUUAACGGCCGCGACGUAAUCUACGUUUUAUGCAUUCAGCGAAAAAUCCACAGCAUAAAGGAAGGAUCAUAAAGAUCGUAAUCUGUUAUCGUAUUUCGUUCCUCUAAAUCUGUGCCUCUUGUAUUUUCAUGGGUCGAUUAUACAAAUUAAAAAAAAA
This 475-nucleotide unclassified non-coding RNA is filed under the name Bombus terrestris (buff-tailed bumblebee). RNAcentral's name for it is "misc RNA ENSBTSG00005026990.1". The record is from RNAcentral. Lineage: Eukaryota; Metazoa; Arthropoda; Insecta; Hymenoptera; Apidae.